CUCUAAAUAGCUUAGUUUGAGCAUUAAAUUUUUAAUUUAAAGGUGAUAACAAAAUAUUAUUUUUGGAGG
RNAcentral lists this transfer RNA (69 nucleotides) under Cipangopaludina ussuriensis. RNAcentral describes it as "tRNA-Lys". It matches the Rfam family "tRNA". From Rfam's summary of the family: Transfer RNA (tRNA) molecules are approximately 80 nucleotides in length. Their secondary structure includes four short double-helical elements and three loops (D, anti-codon, and T loops). The record is from RNAcentral. Lineage: Eukaryota; Metazoa; Mollusca; Gastropoda; Architaenioglossa; Viviparidae.